This 308-nucleotide ribosomal RNA is filed under the name uncultured archaeon. RNAcentral's name for it is "bacterial SSU rRNA". It matches the Rfam family "Archaeal small subunit ribosomal RNA", at positions 526 to 834 of the family's 1478-position model. The record is from RNAcentral.
CGGCCCGGUAAGUCCCCGCUGAAAUCCUCGGGCUCAACCCGAGGGCGGGCGGGGAUACUGCCGGGCUAGAGGGCGGGAGAGGCCGGGGGUAGUCCCGGGGUAGGGGCGAAAUCCGAUAAUCCCGGGAGGACCACCAGUGGCGAAGGCGCCCGGCUGGAACGCGCCUGACGGUGAGGGCCGAAAGCCGGGGGAGCGAACCGGAUUAGAUACCCGGGUAGUCCCGGCUGUAAACGAUGCGGGCUAGGUGUUGGGCGGACUUAGAGUCCGCCCAGUGCCGCAGGGAAGCCGUUAAGCCCGCCGCCUGGGGA